Molecule: ribosomal RNA, 491 nt
Filed under: uncultured bacterium
Lineage: Bacteria
Description: partial 16S ribosomal RNA
Rfam family: Bacterial small subunit ribosomal RNA
Source: RNAcentral
AGUGAACGCUGGCGGUAGGCCUAACACAUGCAAGUCGAACGGCAGCACAGUAAGAGCUUGCUCUUACGGGUGGCGAGUGGCGGACGGGUGAGGAAUACAUCGGAAUCUACUUUUUCGUGGGGGAUAACGUGGGGAAACUUACGCUACUACCGCAUACGACCUACGGGUGAAAGCAGGGGUUCUUCGGACCUUGGCCGAUUUAAUGAGCCGAUGUCGGAUUAGUUAGUUGGCGGGUUAAGGGCCCACCAAGGCGACGAUCCGUAGCUGGUCUGAGAGGAUGAUCAGCCACACUGGAACUGAGACACGGUCCAGACCCCUACGGGAGGCAGCAGUGGGGAAUAUUGGACAAUGGGCGCAAGCCUGAUCCAGCCAUACCGCGUGGGUGAAGAAGGCCUUCGGGUUGUAAAGCCCUUUUGUUGGGAAAGAAAAGCAGCAGGUUAAUACCCCGCUGUUCUGACGGUACCCAAAGAAUAAGCACCGGCUAACUUCGU